UGUAAGCGUAUACCAAAGUUGUUGCAGUUAAAACGCUCGUAGUCGGAAUUUGGCAGUUCCGGAAGUGUGCACGUCGUGUGCGCACUUUGCGGGGACUGCUUUUGUGGUCUUGCGUAGGAUGAGGCACUUUCAUUAGUGAACGUCCUCACGCAACCACUCUUUACUGUGAGAAAAUCAGAGUGCUCAAAGAAGGCAUUUGCCGUGAAUGUAUUAGCAUGGAAUAAUAGAAUAGGACUCGGUUCUAUUUUGUUGGUUUGUUGGGACUGAGUAAUGAUUAAGAGGGACAGUUGGGGGCAUUUGUAUUCCGGCGCUAGAGGUGAAAUUCUUAGAUUGCCGGAAGACAAACUGCUGCGAAAGCGUCUGCCAAGGAUGUUUUCAUUGA
This 382-nucleotide ribosomal RNA is filed under the name uncultured eukaryote. Its description in RNAcentral is "partial 18S ribosomal RNA". It matches the Rfam family "Eukaryotic small subunit ribosomal RNA", at positions 592 to 976 of the family's 1831-position model. The record is from RNAcentral.